Molecule: non-coding RNA, 217 nt
Filed under: Pontibacillus litoralis
Lineage: Bacteria; Bacillati; Bacillota; Bacilli; Caryophanales; Bacillaceae
Description: T-box sequence
Rfam family: T-box leader
About the family: Uncharged tRNA acts as the effector for transcription antitermination of genes in the T-box leader family. T-boxes are found upstream of many aminoacyl-tRNA synthetase genes and some amino acid biosynthetic genes usually in Gram-positive bacteria. The anticodon of a specific tRNA base pairs to a specifier sequence within the T-box motif, and the NCCA acceptor tail of the tRNA base pairs to a conserved bulge in the T-box antiterminator hairpin.
Source: RNAcentral
CAUAAAGCGAUGAGAAAGAGAGUACAGCUUUGUCAGCGUCUCAAGAGAGUCUGUGGUUGGUGGAAACAGAUGACGCGCUUAGGUGGAAGUGGACUUUCGAGCAGCAUUUCUGAACGUUUUAGUAGGUUAUGCCGCGCCCCAGGCGAUAUUGGGUAAAGUGAUUUCUUCUUUGUUGAAGGAAUAACGAGGGUGGCACCACGGUUCAUUCGUCCCUACA